This is a long non-coding RNA of Triticum aestivum (bread wheat), 1677 nucleotides long. RefSeq lists it as uncharacterized. NCBI's taxonomy places the organism in Eukaryota, Viridiplantae, Streptophyta, Magnoliopsida, Poales, Poaceae. The transcript has 4 exons. The record is from RefSeq and is a predicted model, not a curated record.
CUUUUUUUUGCUUGGUCGUGCAGUUUGGAUCACGCCGACUACCAGCUGAAUCAACAACAAAAAAUGAUCCCAGGGACGAACGGCGGCGAUGAGUGGUUUGGGGCUAGGUGAGCGGCGGCCGUCGUCCCGCAACGAUAUGAGUGGGCCCAGCGGGAGCUCGGACUCUACGCUGUUCUCUCAAGCCCGGUGUGGUGGACGACGCCUCGCCAGCAACAAACACCUGGCCAUAGUCGGGCACAGUCCGUGACUCAGGGGUUGGAGGCAUCCUUGUCUAGCCGAUGAGCUGGUUAUGGUCGGGCGGGCAGCGCGGCGUGGCUGCUGCGUGAAGAGUGAUUAUCACUCCGACAGGUGGAUGCACACGUAUAAUGGGUGUGUCAUGGCUGUAUUUUUCCCGUGACUAUCGGAAAGUAAUCUCCUUUAUAUGACUAUAUUUUGGGGGGAAUUUGUACUUAGAUGGCUAAGCAACAAAGGCAGGAGAUUCCAGCGAUAGAUUUGAGGUCGGCGCCUCACGAAGGCAUGCUCCUUGCCGGGAGAGGCAGGGGCAUCCUUUCUUGGUCUGCAUCUUUCACCUCUGUUGCUUCAGAUAGCGGCACAAGUGGAGCAGGAGGCUGCAAUGGAUUUUAUACUAUGGUUAUGGAGCGAUCGAGUGGAGUCUGAAGACGUGCUAGAGUGCAUGCUCCCUCCCUUAGACUUUGCAGCGGCUGAUGGCUCUAUCGAUGGGUGCAUAGAGACGUCGGCUACUUUGAUGACUUCGGUCGAGGGGGGAGAGGAUCGUGGGCAGGUGGCCCCUCAUUCCCCCUCUCCUUCCGAUGUCUUGCCACAGAUGAGGACUACGGUGGAGGUGUCUGUGUUGCCGAUCGGUGACAUGGCCGUUUUGGGAGGGGGGGCCGGGCAGGAGGCCUUGGUUCCCUCCUCUCCUGCGGUGGUAGGGCGAGGGAGGCGGCAGGAGGCCUCGACUCCAUCCUCUCCUACGGUGGUCGGGGCGGCCGUGCCUGCGGCGGCCAUGGGUCCCGAGGAUUGGCAGUCACCUGCUCAGCUAUAGGGGAUGCUCCAGCUGACGCCGACCAGGGUGGUCGCAUCACCCGCAUGCUUGAAGGCAGGGUCGGGUGGGGAGCAGGGGCAAGCGGCCCUCACACUCACUUCCCCUCGCUCGCCUUUGGGCGGGCCGACGACUGUGCUGGCCGCGUCAGGUGGGGAGCGUGGGCAGGUGGCCCAGUCUCUUCCCCCGCGCUCACCGGGGUCGGUGCCUGCAGUUCUUGGCGCCUCUCUGGGUGAUGCAACCUGGCCGCAUGUUGGGGGUGGCGCUGGAGGCCUUACCCCUAACGGGCCCACUCGGGAGGUGGUCGUCGCUUUCGGAGGCAUUCCAGAUCAUGUUUCUGAGGGGCGGCGGAUGAGCUUCCGUUUCCAGGACCAGCCGGAUGUUGAUGACAUGCAGCUGAGGUGCGCCAAGCGGGUGGCCAAGCUUCAUGACAUUGAGGUCACUAUUGGUAUGUCGGUCAACACUUCCAAUUCCAUUCUGCAUUUUUCUAACGAUGAGAUUAUUCAUAAUGCAAAUCAGUUAGGAGUUUCACUAGUUUGCUUUGGUUAUGAAACUAGUCCUACUAUGAUGGGCAUCCAAGAGGGAUAUAAUAAAAACUUUCAUAUAAGUGCAUUGAAUACUAAGAGAAGUUUGAUACU